AGAAACUGCCUGUUCAAGAAAUCUGGAAGUGCAGGAAGCAGAGGGAAUCUUGGGCAGCCUCAUAGUAAUUUUCGAUAGUAUACUGGGACUUGCAAGUCCUGUCCCAGCUACUGCUGGAGAAGAGUGGCUUCUCUUUCUCUUCCCCUUCCAAAUCCUGGUGAGAUCCCUUCCUUUGAAGCGUCUGACCUGGAAUCCUAGUGAGACUAAAUUAUGAGUUCCAAUUCUGGGUAGGGCUUUCAAAAUAGAGCCCUGACCAGUGCUGAAUCAACUUGAAGAAUGAUGAAGGGUUGGCUUCUCUCUCUCAGCAGCUGUGAGUUUGGUCAGCCCUUUGCAAAGUAAGAGGAAAUUUAAUGAACCUAAAUAAGACAUGAUCCUUUGUGGCUAUAAAAGUUACACUUUGAAAAAAGCUCAGCUGGUCAAGAGCCACUUGAAAAUGAUGUUACUGCAGGGGAACUCUGUCAAAAGUCUACUCCUCUUGAUUUCCUCCUAGGCACUUUUGUCUGAACCACGUGGCACAAAUUGGCAGAGAACAAGGAAAAGAAGAACAGAGGAAGGAGAAAAGGAGAAAAGUCAUUCUGCUGAAAAC
Molecule: long non-coding RNA, 586 nt
Organism: Homo sapiens (human)
Lineage: Eukaryota; Metazoa; Chordata; Mammalia; Primates; Hominidae
Source: Ensembl